RNAcentral lists this ribosomal RNA (468 nucleotides) under Escherichia coli. RNAcentral's name for it is "partial 23S ribosomal RNA". It matches the Rfam family "Bacterial large subunit ribosomal RNA", at positions 1067 to 1538 of the family's 2925-position model. Lineage: Bacteria; Pseudomonadati; Pseudomonadota; Gammaproteobacteria; Enterobacterales; Enterobacteriaceae. The record is from RNAcentral.
AAAAGGAUGUGGCGUUGCCCAGACAACUAGGAUGUUGGCUUAGAAGCAGCCAUCAUUUAAAGAGUGCGUAAUAGCUCACUAGUCGAGUGACACUGCGCCGAAAAUGUACCGGGGCUAAACAUAUUACCGAAGCUGUGGAUUGUCCUUUGGACAAUGGUAGGAGAGCGUUCUAAGGGCGUUGAAGCAUGAUCGUAAGGACAUGUGGAGCGCUUAGAAGUGAGAAUGCCGGUGUGAGUAGCGAAAGACGGGUGAGAAUCCCGUCCACCGAUUGACUAAGGUUUCCAGAGGAAGGCUCGUCCGCUCUGGGUUAGUCGGGUCCUAAGCUGAGGCCGACAGGCGUAGGCGAUGGAUAACAGGUUGAUAUUCCUGUACCACCUAUAAUCGUUUUAAUCGAUGGGGGGACGCAGUAGGAUAGGCGAAGCGUGCGAUUGGAUUGCACGUCUAAGCAGUAAGGCUGAGUAUUAGGCA